Molecule: long non-coding RNA, 207 nt
Filed under: Medicago truncatula (barrel medic)
Lineage: Eukaryota; Viridiplantae; Streptophyta; Magnoliopsida; Fabales; Fabaceae
Description: long non-coding RNA (MTRU_LNC004142)
Source: RNAcentral
GCUAUUUGAUUUGACAGAGUAAUGAAACAGAAAAAUAGCAAAGUCUUGUUGUCACUUCUUCAGGUCUUCAGCUCCUUAUAUAGGCAGUGAAAUAAGAGACGUUGGAGAAGAGUGUCAGCACAAAUAGAAUCGUUGAGAAGCUUCAAUCAAGAACGUUGGCCCUUUGCCUGAUAUAGAUAAUUCCGUUGAAAAGUCCUUCGAAUUUCC